RNAcentral lists this long non-coding RNA (749 nucleotides) under Phoenix dactylifera (date palm). RNAcentral's name for it is "long non-coding RNA (PDAC_LNC012999)". Lineage: Eukaryota; Viridiplantae; Streptophyta; Magnoliopsida; Arecales; Arecaceae. The record is from RNAcentral.
UGAUAUAGAUAUCAUUGUGUUAUUAGUACGUUCUUCUAUCAACUAUUAAAAUAGAGAGAGAGAGAAAUCUGGCUUCUUAAGUAUAGAAUUACUAGAAUGUUGAUUUUUGCAUUAGCUGAUCUUGGAUUUGAAAUAUUUUAAUAUAGAUCUCUUUUCUUUUAGAUUUAUAGUUUAUGCUUUUAAAAGAAUUCAAGAAUAAUUAUCAAUCUUGAAGAAUAUUUGAUUCUCAAAUGUUCUAGUAUGGAUAAAGUGGAGUAAUUUAUGAUCUUGUGACAUAUUAACAUUAGUUGAUGCAAAAAAAUAAUAAUGUUCCAAAUUAUGGAUAUGAUUCAGAAUUAGGAGAAUUGAAACUUUUUAGUUGUCUUGUGAUUGAUCCCUCAUGGUGGCCGGAAGCUGUGGCUGGAGCUCCAGCCACCGGAAUAUGCUGGUUUCAUAGUUUAAGGGGUCACAAUCUCUGUUUUUGUUAGUUUUGGCGUCGCCAACCAUCGGUUGCUUGUUGGCUAGCCAUGGGCCCUUGACCCUAGGCAUCACCUCUAGCCACCCUCUUCCUUCCUCUUUCUUGAUUAUAGAAAGAAACUUUUUUCUCUCUCUUAUUUCUCUCUCUUGACUCAUGGCUAGAUAUGUUGAUUGAUCUAAGUUGACCCGUGCCAUUGGCAACCAAACCCCGGCUCUUGAUUUAAUCUGAACUGAGAUUCUCUCUUCUCUUUUCUUUCUUUUUCUCUCUUAUUUUUCUAUUUUUACUGGACUUU